ACGCUGGCGGCGUGCCUUAAACACAUGCAAAGUCAACUUGACUGAAGGAGCAAUCUGACAGUAGAGUGGCGCAAGGGUGCGUAACGCGUAAGUAACUUGCCCAAGGUAAGGAAUAACGUCGAGAAAUCGGCGCUAAUACCUCAUAAUGCAGCGGAUCCGCAUGGAUAUGUUGUUAAAGGUUUACCGCCUUGGGAUAGGCUUGCGUCUGAUUAGCUAGUUGGUGUGGUAACGGCACACCAAGGCUACGAUCAGUAACUGGUCUGAGAGGAUGAUCAGUCACACUGGAACUGAGACACGGUCCAGACUCCUACGGGAGGCAGCAGUGAGGAAUAUUGGGCAAUGCUCGAAAGAGUGACCCAGCAACGCCGCGUGGAGGAUGAAGGUAUUCUAUAUCGUAAACUCCUGUGAGAGCAGACGAAAGACAGAUUAUUAAUCUGGAUGACUGUAUGCUCAGAGGAAGCCCCGGCUAACUACGUG
RNAcentral lists this ribosomal RNA (477 nucleotides) under uncultured bacterium. RNAcentral describes it as "bacterial SSU rRNA". It matches the Rfam family "Bacterial small subunit ribosomal RNA", at positions 33 to 507 of the family's 1533-position model. The record is from RNAcentral.